CUGUUCAAAGGUAUCUUUGGAAAUCAAGGGAUGAAGCGGAUAAUGUCCUUGCCAACCGUUCAAAAGAAGCUGGAAUGGAGAAAAUUGCAGGAAUUAACAAGGAGGAGAUUUUUAUCAAUUAAUGGGACCUCGAACAUGGGUCAAACCUGAUGACUGGAUUUCCUGGAUCUCCUUAAGUUUACCUGUUUCCUGAUAGAAUUUCAAAAACCGGUUUUUCAAAUCAUCGACAUCUGGCAGCGAAAUUGCCAACUACGAGUUGCAUUUCCAAAAUUAAUCAUAGUAUACAGUACAAUGUUUGUAAAGAUUUCUGACCGGGAGCAAAUCACAUAUUGUAUGAAUUGUAGAUAAUUAUAUAGCAGACCUUUA
Long non-coding RNA from Daphnia pulex (common water flea), 366 nucleotides. RefSeq lists it as uncharacterized. The record is from RefSeq and is a predicted model, not a curated record. Lineage: Eukaryota; Metazoa; Arthropoda; Branchiopoda; Diplostraca; Daphniidae. The transcript has 2 exons.